AUGAAGACUGAAGAACCGGCUGCCUCACAGCAGAGUUCUUCAUCUGCGCUCGGGAGAGGGAGUGAGAGGGAGAAAGCGUGCUGUGUAUUUACUCAGGUGUGUUCCUGUUCUUGGCAACUGUGCUACAACAAUAUUGAAAACAGGCUGCUGAGCUUCAUGAACAACUUGAACGUGGGGAUGUUUCAGUCAAAUCUCAGGAGCUCCCCCUCACUAAAACAUUUCUUCAUCCGAAAUGCAAGUCAUGGAAUGCCUGGCGAUUCGAAGUUAUCCAGACCAUUACCAAUGCUUUUGGAUAGAAGUUUUCCAGGAGACGUUUUUCCAGGAGGUCUUACUUCUAAAAGGAAGCACACAGUGUGUUGUGUACUCACUUUAAUAUGUAAAGCAGUCUCACAUGGCCGAAUAAGCAUAUGGAACUCUUGCCAAGAGUGCAGAAAACAGUGACUCACCUUUAAUUUUUUCAUAAUAACAGUUGAUCAAGACACUUUAUUAUGCAAAUAAGUAACCCACUAACCCUGAAAUUUCUGUCUGACUUGUCAGAUUUCUCCUAAUAGAGAUGGUAUGUGGAGAAGACAGACUGGGUCAGGGUGUGGCUUCAUAUUGGGACAUGUUUGUGUGUUGUGAGUAAGGCCAUGUCUUCUGUCUGGUCCUUGAUGAGGACCUCUGCUGUUAUGUAGACCUUGCCCCAUGGGCUUGUUCAUGGGCUUGCUAUGUGGCUUCUUUUCUCCAGUGGCCUCCAGAUUCCAUAAGGAGAUGAAGAUAUUUCAAAUACAAUGCAAGUGAAGGAGAUCAUUUAGGAAGGGAGAGCUAUGGAAACCAUGCAAAGAGCCCACACAAGCAAUUAUGCACAUUAAUGCACAUAAUACGAUCAUUUUUCAACUACAAGUUUUCAUUUGCACCAUCAUAUCCAAGUUACUGUUUCAAAUAACUUAAAUGCAUACUAUUUACUAUUUACAGAUAUGCAAAUACAUUUUUUAACUUAAGAGUAAUGCAGUAUUAUAAAAUGUUAAAAUGUAACAUUUACUUUUUUAAGUAAAACAAUAUUGUUGAAUAUUAUAUUUGAUAAAAAGAGUGUAACAUCAUUAGUCUUUUUAUGAGUAAUGCAAUAUUGUAAAAUUACUUUUAAAAGUAACAUUCUCUAACACUUACAGUAUGUCAAGUCUAUUUGUAAUACACAUUAUAUAAUAUGUGCUACAAGUACUGCAGAAUAUAAUCUAUUAAUAUUUUCAUGCCUUAUAGUCACAUUACGCAGAUUAGGGUUGUGCAAUGAUAUAGUUUACAUUUUGUAUUGAUACAAACAUUGGUUACACUUCAUUUUAAGGUUUUCUUGUUAUAAUGUAAUUAUACAUUUAAGUACCACUGAGUAAUAUUAAUUAACUCCAUGUAUUUACUACAUGGUUAGGGUAAGGAUUAUGGUUUGGUUUAGGGUUACUUGCACAUAAUUAUGCAUCAUUAAUUGUUAUUAUAAUAGAAAAUACAUGUAAAGUGCGACAAGGACACCUUAAAAUAACACAAAUAAAGAGUUACACAAACAUUCA
Molecule: long non-coding RNA, 1535 nt
Organism: Cyprinus carpio (common carp)
Lineage: Eukaryota; Metazoa; Chordata; Actinopteri; Cypriniformes; Cyprinidae
Source: Ensembl